This 495-nucleotide ribosomal RNA is filed under the name uncultured bacterium. Its description in RNAcentral is "partial 16S ribosomal RNA". It matches the Rfam family "Bacterial small subunit ribosomal RNA", at positions 28 to 507 of the family's 1533-position model. The record is from RNAcentral.
GACGAACGCUGGCGGCGUGCCUAAUACAUGCAAGUAGAACGCUGAAGGAGGAGCUUGCUUCUCUGGAUGAGUUGCGAACGGGUGAGUAACGCGUAGGUAACCUGCCUGGUAGCGGGGGAUAACUAUUGGAAACGAUAGCUAAUACCGCAUAAUAGUAGAUGUUGCAUGACAUUUGCUUAAAAGGUGCAAUUGCAUCACUACCAGAUGGACCUGCGUUGUAUUAGCUAGUUGGUGGGGUAACGGCUCACCAAGGCGACGAUACAUAGCCGACCUGAGAGGGUGAUCGGCCACACUGGGACUGAGACACGGCCCAGACUCCUACGGGAGGCAGCAGUAGGGAAUCUUCGGCAAUGGACGGAAGUCUGACCGAGCAACGCCGAGGGAGUGAAGAAGGUUUUCGGAUCGUAAAGCUCUGUUGUAAGAGAAGAACGAGUGUGAGAGUGGAAAGUUCACACUGUGACGGUAUCUUACCAGAAAGGGACGGCUAACUACGUG